RNAcentral lists this ribosomal RNA (484 nucleotides) under uncultured bacterium. RNAcentral's name for it is "partial 16S ribosomal RNA". It matches the Rfam family "Bacterial small subunit ribosomal RNA", at positions 28 to 507 of the family's 1533-position model. The record is from RNAcentral.
AUUGAACGCUGGCGGCAUGCUUUACACAUGCAAGUCGAACGGCAGCGCGGGCUUCGGCCUGGCGGCGAGUGGCGAACGGGUGAGUAAUGCAUCGGAACGUGCCCAGUAGUGGGGGAUAGCCCGGCGAAAGCCGGAUUAAUACCGCAUACGACCUGAGGGUGAAAGCGGGGGGCCGAAAGGCCUCGCGCUAUUGGAGCGGCCGAUGUCGGAUUAGCUAGUUGGUGGGGUAAAGGCUUACCAAGGCGACGAUCCGUAGCUGGUCUGAGAGGACGACCAGCCACACUGGGACUGAGACACGGCCCAGACUCCUACGGGAGGCAGCAGUGGGGAAUUUUGGACAAUGGGGGCAACCCUGAUCCAGCCAUGCCGCGUGCGGGAAGAAGGCCUUCGGGUUGUAAACCGCUUUUGUUCGGGAAGAAAUCCUCUGGGCUAAUACCCCGGGGGGAUGACGGCACCGGAAGAAUAAGCACCGGCUAACUACGUG